GAAACUUGCCAAGAAAUCUUGGUUUAAUAUCUGUCACUUAAGACAACAAUUAAUCUGUUUUCCACUGUUUGGAUUCUUAAAUUGUACUCCUUCAGCCAGAGGAGCUUACGCUGCUGCUAAUAAAGCUGAGACGGCAGCAAGCCGAACUGAGUAGUAUCCGGGAGCAUACGUUAGCACAGCUCAUGCAGCUAAAGCUUGAGGCCCACAGCCCAAAGAAUGAAAUUCUUUCACAUCAUCUCCAAAGGAACACCAUAUAUUUGGAUCAUCAGAUGAAAGAAAAUGAACCUAUUAUCACCAUGGUUCACACAAUGAUUGAGAACUCGGCGCUAAGACCCCAACUGUACCAGCAAGUAAGGUCUUGGACAGUGAAUGAUACUGCUUUAUCAUCUGCAAAAUCCCUCAGUGACAGUUUUGAUUUAUUCUCAGAUUUAC
This 432-nucleotide long non-coding RNA is filed under the name Pan troglodytes (chimpanzee). RNAcentral's name for it is "long non-coding RNA NONPTRT003390". The record is from RNAcentral. Lineage: Eukaryota; Metazoa; Chordata; Mammalia; Primates; Hominidae.